This 402-nucleotide ribosomal RNA is filed under the name uncultured bacterium. RNAcentral's name for it is "bacterial SSU rRNA". It matches the Rfam family "Bacterial small subunit ribosomal RNA", at positions 358 to 774 of the family's 1533-position model. The record is from RNAcentral.
GGAAUAUUGGGCAAUGGGCGCAAGCCUGACCCAGCAACGCCGCGUGAGUGAAGAAGGCUUUCGGGUUGUAAAGCUCUGUUAUGUGGGACGAAGAGCGUGACGGUACCACAUAAGGAAGCCCCGGCUAACUACGUGCCAGCAGCCGCGGUAAUACGUAGGGGGCGAGCGUUGUCCGGAAUGACUGGGCGUAAAGGGCGUGUAGGCGGCUUUAUAAGUCUGGAGUGAAAGUCCUGCUUUCAAGGUGGGAACUGCUUUGGAUACUGUAGAGCUUGAGUGCGGAAGAGGUAAGUGGAAUUCCCAGUGUAGCGGUGAAAUGCGUAGAGGUUGGGAGGAACACCAGUGGCGAAGGCGACUUACUGGGCCGUAACUGACGCUGAGGCGCGAAAGCGUGGGGAGCGAACA